GACGAACGCUGGCGGCGUGCCUAAUACAUGCAAGUCGAGCGAAGUUUUUCUGGUGCUUGCACCGGAAAAACUUAGCGGCGAACGGGUGAGUAACACGUAAAGAACCUGCCUCAUAGACUGGGACAACUAUUGGAAACGAUAGCUAAUACCGGAUAAUAGCAUUAACUGCAUGGUUGAUGUUUAAAAGUUGGUUUUGCUAACACUAUGAGAUGGCUUUGCGGUGCAUUAGCUAGUUGGUGGGGUAAAGGCCUACCGAGGCGACGAUGCAUAGCCGACCUGAGAGGGUGAUCGGCCACACUGGGACUGAGACACGGCCCAGACUCCUACGGGAGGCAGCAGUAGGGAAUCUUCCGCAAUGGGCGAAAGCCUGACGGAGCAACGCCGCGUGAGUGAAGAAGGAUUUCGGUUCGUAAAGCUCUGUUGUUAGGGAAGAAUGAUUGUGUAGUAACUAUACACAGUAGAGACGGUACCUAACCAGAAAGCCACGGCUAACUACGUG
RNAcentral lists this ribosomal RNA (499 nucleotides) under uncultured bacterium. RNAcentral describes it as "partial 16S ribosomal RNA". It matches the Rfam family "Bacterial small subunit ribosomal RNA", at positions 28 to 507 of the family's 1533-position model. The record is from RNAcentral.